This 359-nucleotide ribosomal RNA is filed under the name Tubicinella cheloniae. Its description in RNAcentral is "partial 12S rRNA". Lineage: Eukaryota; Metazoa; Arthropoda; Thecostraca; Balanomorpha; Coronulidae. The record is from RNAcentral.
UGAAACCAGGGUUAGAUACCCUGUUACUUUUUUUAAAGAGCUUUGGAUUAAUAAUAGUGAUGAAAUUUAACGGAUUUGGCGGCAAGAUAGCUUUUUAGAGGAACCUGCCCUGUAAACGAUGAACCACGAAUAUCUUACUUUCCUUAGAAGACAGUUUGUAUACCGCUGUUGACAGUCAAAUUUUAGAAGAUAUUUUCUUUUUGAAAAAAUCAAUAACUUCAAGUAAAGGUGCAGCUUAUAGGAAAGAUAGAGGUGGGUUACAAUUAAGAGAAUAAAACGGAUAAGAACUGAGAAUAGGUUUUUUGAAGGUGGAUUUAACAGUAAGAUUUAAGAAAAUUUGGUGUAAGCUCUAUCUUGUG